GUGAACGCUGGCGGCGUGUCUAAGGCAUGCAAGUCGAACGAUUUUUCUGUGAUUACAUCAAGGAAAAGUAGUGGCAAACGGGUGAGUAACACAUUGGUAACCUACCUCAAAGACGGGAAUAACCUGGGGAAGCCCGGGCUAAUACCCGAUAAGUUCUGCUGUUUAUUUCAGCAGAGUAAAACUACGGUGCUUUGAGAGGGGCCUAUGCUUCAUCAGCUAGUUGGUAGGGUAAUGGCCUACCAAGGCUACGACGAAUAGCGGGCGUGAGAGCGCGACCCGCCUCACUGGGACUGAGACACUGCCCAGACUCCUACGGGAGGCUGCAGUCAAAAAUAUUCCUCAAUGCACGAAAGUGUGAAGGAGCGACGCCGCGUGAUUGAUGACGCCCUUCGGGGUGUAAAGAUCUUUUAUCAGGGACGAACUAAUGACGGUACCUGAUGAAUAAGGGGCUGCUAAACUCGU
This 462-nucleotide ribosomal RNA is filed under the name uncultured bacterium. RNAcentral describes it as "bacterial SSU rRNA". It matches the Rfam family "Bacterial small subunit ribosomal RNA", at positions 29 to 506 of the family's 1533-position model. The record is from RNAcentral.